This 374-nucleotide ribosomal RNA is filed under the name uncultured bacterium. RNAcentral's name for it is "bacterial SSU rRNA". It matches the Rfam family "Bacterial small subunit ribosomal RNA", at positions 524 to 898 of the family's 1533-position model. The record is from RNAcentral.
UACAGAGGGUGCGAGCGUUAAUCGGAUUUACUGGGUGUAAAGGGCGCGUAGGCGGCGUGAUGUGUGCGGUGUGAAAGCCCCGGGCUUAACCUGGGAAGCGCACUGCAGACUGUCGUGCUGGAGUACAUGAGAGGGUGGCGGAAUUUCCGGUGUAGCGGUGAAAUGCGUAGAGAUCGGAAGGAACGUCAAUGGCGAAGGCAGCCACCUGGCAUGAUACUGACGCUGAGGCGCGAAAGCGUGGGGAGCGAACAGGAUUAGAUACCCUGGUAGUCCACGCUGUAAACGAUGAGGACUGGAUGUUGUCAGGGGAACCUGGCAGUAUCGAAGCUAACGCGAUAAGUCUUCCACCUGGGAAGUACGGCCGCAAGGUUGAA